RNAcentral lists this ribosomal RNA (778 nucleotides) under uncultured Neocallimastigales. RNAcentral describes it as "partial large subunit ribosomal RNA". It matches the Rfam family "Eukaryotic large subunit ribosomal RNA", at positions 24 to 649 of the family's 3401-position model. Lineage: Eukaryota; Fungi; Neocallimastigomycota; Neocallimastigomycetes; Neocallimastigales. The record is from RNAcentral.
UAUCUCUGUAGAGUCUGCAUAUCAAUAAGCGGAGGAAAAGAAACUAACUAGGAUUCCCUUCAGUAACGGCGAGUGAAGCGGGAAGAGCUCAAAUUUGAAAUCUUCAAGGUUCUACCUUGACGAAUUGUAGUUUAAAGAAGUGUUUUCUGUUAGAUGAGGUGGCUAAAAGUUCUUUGGAAUAGGACAUCAUAGAGGGUGAGAAUCCCGUAUUUGGUCAUUCCUUCCUAGCGUUGUGAUACACUUUCAAAGAGUCGGAUUGUUUGGGAAUGCAGUCCAAAAUGGGUGGUAAAUUUCAUCUAAAGCUAAAUAUUGGCGAGAGACCGAUAGCGAACAAGUACCGUGAGGGAAAGAUGAAAGGAACUUUGAAAAGAGAGUUAAACAGUACGUGAAAUUGUCAAAAGGGAAGCGUUUGACACCAGUGUUGUUUUUCCGAAAAUCAAUUAAGAAUGUUUUAUUUUUGAGGAGUUAUGACUUCAUCGGCUUGCUCCUUUCUUUAUGAAACUUUCUUAAUGCACUUUUCGGUUAACAAGUCAACAUCAAUUUCUUUUGUUGUAAAAGAGUAUGAGGAAGGUGGCUUUCUUUUCGGAGAAAGUGUUUAUAGCCUUGUACUUCUGCAAUCGGAGAGAUUGAGGUCUGCAGCGUAGAUCCUUCGGGGUUAGAUACAUUUGUGCUAAGUUAUAGCUUUUCAUAGACAACUUGUUGAUUAUGUUAAGUCUUGUAGCUUACUCGCUUAUGCUAUUUUACCUACGCUUAGGAUGUUGAGUAGCGACAUACGCAC